This 307-nucleotide ribosomal RNA is filed under the name Mantidactylus sp. 48 MV-2009. Its description in RNAcentral is "partial large subunit ribosomal RNA". It matches the Rfam family "Bacterial large subunit ribosomal RNA", at positions 2018 to 2492 of the family's 2925-position model. Lineage: Eukaryota; Metazoa; Chordata; Amphibia; Anura; Mantellidae. The record is from RNAcentral.
GUCUCCUUUUUCUAAUCAGUGAAACUAAUCUCCCCGUGAAGAAGCGGGGAUACUACUAUAAGACGAGAAGACCCCAUGGAGCUUUAAACCCAACUACACCCCUAUUUACAACAACUACUUAACCAAUUGGACACUGUAUGCUUGGUUUUAGGUUGGGGCGACCACGGAGUAAAAAAUAACCUCCACGAUAAAUGGGCUUACCCCCUUAUCUAAGAGCCACACCUCUAAGAAUUAAAACAUUAAUAUAAUAUGAUCCUUUCUUGAUCAACGGACCAAGUUACCCUGGGGAUAACAGCGCAAUCCAUUU